UACGAAGGGGGCUAGCGUUGUUCGGAAUCACUGGGCGUAAAGGGCGCGUAGGCGGUUUGUUAAGUCAGCUGUGAAAGCCCGGGGCUCAACCCCGGAGGGUCAGCUGAUACUGGCAGACUAGAGUACAGAAGAGGUAACUGGAAUUCCUGGUGUAGCGGUGAAAUGCGCAGAUAUCAGGAGGAACACCGGUGGCGAAGGCGACUCACUGGCCCGUUACUGACGCUGAGGCGCGAAAGCGUGGGGAGCAAACAGG
RNAcentral lists this ribosomal RNA (253 nucleotides) under uncultured bacterium. RNAcentral's name for it is "partial 16S ribosomal RNA". It matches the Rfam family "Bacterial small subunit ribosomal RNA", at positions 524 to 776 of the family's 1533-position model. The record is from RNAcentral.